AUGGGAUCAGGCGUCCUCUCCUUCCGAAGGGGCCAUGCAUGGAGGCUGUGCUCUUUCCGUGGCCUAGACGCUUUUCCUGAAGAGGGCUGGCACAUGUGGAUCGGGCUGCGCUUUGGAACUGCCUGGAGUUGGAGCGACACGUCUUCCCUGGCCUAUGCCCGGUGGCAUCCAGAAAACCCCCCUUCCACGGCACGGGACCAGUGCGUGGUGCUGAUUCUCCAGCCGGCGGAUCCUGCCCAGCAUGGAAGGUGGAAAACCAGACCUUGUGACAUCCGUCCCGCUGGCGAAAUCACGGGCUUCGUCUGCCAGGGCAGAGAAGAUUUUUGUGGUCCCCCGGAGCCUGUCCACUUCCCUCUUCCGGGCGGGAUGGGUCCGCACGCCACAGCCGACGUUGCUUUCUCCUUGUCUGUCCGCUCUGCCUGCUCUUUGUCCUUGAUGGGCCUCCGGGCCGAAACCAACACCAGCGCCACCCUCUUCUGGCUCAGCCUGGAGUCAAAUUCCACCCAUGUGCACAGCAGCAUCGCCAGUGAGCUCGGCGGCUUUCCGGUGCGCAAGGUUUUCCCCGGAGUACCCGUUGUUCCCGGCAUCAGCACGUGGGGCUUUGUCACCUACCCCGAUGGAUUCGCCACUUUCUUCAACCAGCAGGAGCAUUUCCGGCUGUCUGAGGUCCCGGGCAUUUCUUUCGCCGGCCUCAGCUCCUUGCAGAUAAGUGGCGCCACUGUGCUCAAUGCCUCUUUAGGUAGGUUGGGGCAGAUUGCCACCCGGAGUAGACCUUUGGUCUAGAUGGUGCAGGAUGCGUGCAGGAUGCUGUUCAUUCUUUCACUGCCCUGUGCAUAUCCUGCCUUGCAUCAAACGAUGAUGGGGCAGAGUACAGAUUACAAAGCAACGUGAAGUCAUUUAAGACAACGUAAAUAGCUUUUAAUUUCAGAACCUCCUGGUUUCUGGCCCAGCCAAAAGCAUCUCAAGUAGCCAGGGCAGAAUGGGGCCCUUUUUUGCAGCCAGGGCUGGGCUGAACGGAGGGACAAGUUGGGCCUGACCUGGGUCAGCUUCGGGGCCCUUCCUGCUGCCGGGGCUGCCCCCUUCUCACAGCGGACCAUCGGCUUGACGAGAUGCCUGCUAAUGGCAGACAAGAGUUGGUUGCAUGGCGUCUCUGUGGCCGGGGAAGCUUGAUCACCCAGUCCCUCAUCAAGUUGGCGAUCCCAGGAUUUCAUGAGAUGGAGCUGUGGCAGAUUUUUUUUGCCGGAUCAAGCACCGUGUUGGUGAAAUGUGGAUACACUCUGUCGUGUCCUUUAAAAGUCCCUUAUUGCUCCUGAUCCCUUUGUACCUCUGUGUCCAUU
RNAcentral lists this long non-coding RNA (1337 nucleotides) under Pogona vitticeps (central bearded dragon). RNAcentral's name for it is "lncRNA (ENSPVIG00000013076.1)". The record is from RNAcentral. Lineage: Eukaryota; Metazoa; Chordata; Lepidosauria; Squamata; Agamidae.